This 253-nucleotide ribosomal RNA is filed under the name uncultured bacterium. RNAcentral's name for it is "partial 16S ribosomal RNA". It matches the Rfam family "Bacterial small subunit ribosomal RNA", at positions 524 to 776 of the family's 1533-position model. The record is from RNAcentral.
UACGUAGGGGACGAGCGUUGUCCGGAGUUAUUGGGCGUAAAGCGUGUGUAGGCGGCUUGGCAAGUUGGAUGUGAAAGCCCACGGCUCAACCGUGGAAGCGCACCCAAAACUGCUUCGCUCGAGUCUCGGAGAGGAAGGUGGAAUGCUUGGUGUAGAGGUGAAAUUCGUAGAUAUCAAGCAGAACACCUGCGGCGAAGGCGGCCUUCUGGACGAUGACUGACGCUGAGACACGAAAGCGUGGGGAGCAAACAGG